Molecule: long non-coding RNA, 986 nt
Organism: Panicum virgatum (switchgrass)
Lineage: Eukaryota; Viridiplantae; Streptophyta; Magnoliopsida; Poales; Poaceae
Exons: 2
Source: RefSeq, a predicted model, not a curated record
ACACUCGAAUCCUGUGCGGGCAGUAACCGAUGGCCACACUCAAGCAGAUUUGGGCACGCAGGAGUUUUCCGUGCCAAAUCCAUCUCCAUCCCCCCAAAUCCAUCUCACGGCUCUGACUUCCCCCAAUCCAAAUCCAUCUGCACCUCAAUCUGGCCAUCACUUCCCCAAUCCGCUCAUCCAUAUACACCUCGCACCCUCCUCGUCUCCGAUUUGGUACACCUGAGAUGUCCAAGCAACUUGCAGCAAGGAAGAAGAAGGGAUCCCCACCCUCUGCGGCGGCGGCGGCGGCAGUAGCGGCGCCGGCCGCAGCCUGCACCCUAGGUCGCGGUGGCUUAUCGACAACGACAGCUUUCUCCCUCGGCCAUGGUGGCAGCUCGGCACCGACGGCCCGGUCUCUCGGACUUGGCGGCGGGUAAGCAACGGCAGCAGCCCGCCCAACCAGCGGCGGUGUCGGCAUGGGCGCGGUGACGGCGCCAUCCUCCAUUGAUGGAUCCAGCGGAGGUGGCUUCCCCAGCUCGUUGUUGUCCAUGGAUAGAUUUCCGUUCCCUCCUUCACCAUCUCCAGCUUGGUUUGAUGCGGCCGGCGCUGAUCCCUCCUCCUGGAUCAUGGAACUUGCUGAAUGAGAAUCCAAGUGCGACCAUAGUUCUCCCACCUGAAGUGCGUACAAGCGACAAUCCUAAUCCAUGCUUCGCAGAGGUACUCCAUAGAAAUUCUGCUAUCAAAGCUCGGCCAACACAUAGGAAACUCAAGAAGGAUCUAAUCGAGCACAUAUGGCAACGCUAUGGAAACAAAGGAAAGUAGACCAGAAAGUCGUUUGAACUAUGCAUAAUAUAAUUAUUAUUGAUGUUUCUAAAAAAUAUUGUAAUUCUGUUGCUCUUAUUUAUGCUCCAUACAUUUCUAUCAACUAGCCACACAGUGGUAUACAAAAAUUUACUUACAAGUUGAUCCUACCUAUAUGCAAAGCAUUAAACAGCUUUAAAGACAGA